AGUCACUGACAUUAGAUACCCGGGUAGUCCAGGGUGUAAACGCUGCAGACUUGGUGUUGGAAGCCCUUUGGGGGCAUUCAGUGCCGGAGAGAAGUUGUUAAGUCUGCUACUUGGGGAGUACGUCCGCAAGGAUGAAACUUAAAGGAAUUGGCGGGGGAGCACCGCAACGGGAGGAGCGUGCGGUUUAAUUGGAUUCAACACCGUAAAACUCACCAGGGAAGACUGUUACAUGAAGGCCGAGAUGAAGACUCUGCCAGAUUUUCAG
Molecule: ribosomal RNA, 265 nt
Filed under: uncultured archaeon
Lineage: Archaea
Description: partial 16S ribosomal RNA
Rfam family: Archaeal small subunit ribosomal RNA
Source: RNAcentral